RNAcentral lists this ribosomal RNA (279 nucleotides) under uncultured archaeon. RNAcentral describes it as "partial 16S rRNA". It matches the Rfam family "Archaeal small subunit ribosomal RNA", at positions 1047 to 1325 of the family's 1478-position model. The record is from RNAcentral.
GAGACCCACACCAACAGUUGCCAGCAUGUCCUCCGGGAUGGUGGGGACACUGUUGGGACCGCCUCUGCUAAAGAGGAGGAAGGAAUGGGCAACGGUAGGUCAGCAUGCCCCGAAUUAUCCGGGCUACACGCGGGCUACAAUGGUCAGGACAAUGGGUAUCGACACCGAGAGGUGAAGGCAAUCUCUUAAACCUGUCCUUAGUUCGGAUUGUGGGCUGCAACUCGCCCACAUGAAGCUGGAAUCCGUAGUAAUCGCGUCUCAAAAUGGCGCGGUGAAUAU